RNAcentral lists this long non-coding RNA (1207 nucleotides) under Manihot esculenta (cassava). Its description in RNAcentral is "long non-coding RNA (MESC_LNC002462)". Lineage: Eukaryota; Viridiplantae; Streptophyta; Magnoliopsida; Malpighiales; Euphorbiaceae. The record is from RNAcentral.
CUGGCUACAUCACUAUAUGGAUCGAAAUGGUAAGAGCUUUCUUGGACAAGUAUUUCCUAACAUCUAAAGCCAUUGAGAUAAGAAGGAAAAUUAAUGGGAUCAAGCAAAAAGAAUAUGAGGAGUUGUAAAAAUAUUGGGAUUCAAAAAGUUAUGCACAAGUUGCCCCCAACGUGACAUCUCCAACUAAUCUCUUAUCCAAUACUUCUAUGAAGGUCUUCUAUCCUCAGAAAGGAGGCUCAUUGAUGCAGCAUGUGGAGAAUCUACUGAGAAUAAGACACCUCAAUCCAUUAGAGAGUUGAUUUAUAUCAUGGCCGCAACUUCCAAACAAUAUAGAGACUAAAAGGAGCAACCAAGAAGGGUUAAUGAGAUAAAUGUGUCUUCUCUUGAAUCGAAAAUUUCUAAGUUAACAUCUACAGCACAAAGUCUUAUUGUAGGAAAUAAGCAACAAAUAAGAGCAUGUGAAAUUUGUGCAAACUUAUGAACAUUUAAUAAAUAUGUGUCCCACACUCCAAAAAGAUCGAUAACAUGUCAAUGCCAUAAGAGGUUUUGAGGAACAUCAACAACAAAGUAAGACCUUUACUCCAAUACAUACAAUCCAUGAUGGAGGGAUUAUCCAAAUUUUAACCAUGUGAAGUAACAAUUUUCAGAAUUUUCAGUAUCAUUACCCUCAACAAGCACCUCCUUAAAAGUAAGGUAUGCCUCUUGAAAAUAUUGUAAAAUCUCUUGCUAAUUUUGUAUAAAGUUUAAAAAAUCAAAUGAGCCAAAUGGCUUCAUAAGUAGUUUGGAAUCAUGAGGCUUUACCAUUUCAAGUGAUAGUCAAUCCAUAGUAAAAUGUAAGUGUAAUAAUUUUAAUGAAUGAAACAGAGUUGCAAGAAAUUCUACAUGAGGAGAGAUUUAGGCAAAGAUCAGUAAUAGAUCUGCAGAAUACACCUGCAGGAUUUUCAUAUAUAAGGCAUAAAAUUCCACUAUGAGUACAAACUUAGGCAAAUCUUAAUGACUAUACAACAAACAAUACUUGCAGAAAUUUAACAGAAAAAGGAGAAAACUUGCUGCAAAAACAUACCAGGAAAAAGAAUUUGUCAUUUCACCAUCCUUCCUCAGAGAUUUACCAAAUCUAAAAAAGAAAAAGAGUAAACAGAAAUUCUAGAAACUUUUUACAAGAUUGAGAUAAGCAUUCUUUUAAUUGAUGUCAUUAAGCAAGUGUUAU